RNAcentral lists this ribosomal RNA (867 nucleotides) under Triticum aestivum (bread wheat). RNAcentral's name for it is "partial small subunit ribosomal RNA". Lineage: Eukaryota; Viridiplantae; Streptophyta; Magnoliopsida; Poales; Poaceae. The record is from RNAcentral.
AUGUCCAGCCCACCUCCUCCCGACGCCGGGUUGCCGCCGGUGACUCCAGUUCCGCCUACUCCGGUGACCCCAUCUCCGGUUACUCCAGUUCCGCCUACUCCAUCGCCCGUAGCAAUUCCGCCUUCUCCGGUAGCAGUUCCGCCUACUCCGGUUCAGGCGGAUCCUCCCACCAUCGUGAAUCCUCCAGUGCUACCCCCGGUGAAUUCUCCUCCGCCACCUUCACCAAGGCCGCCGACGACGCCGAACCCAACGCCGGUAACACCGUCCCCAUCUCCGCCAAGGCCCACGCCGACGCCAAACCCAACGCCAGCAACACCGUCCCCACCCCCACCAAGGACAACUCCGACGCCAACGCCAACUCCUCGCAGGCCGCCGUCGUCAUCACCAUCGCUGCCUGACGCCGCGCCGCCACCUCCUGAAGACGUCCCAUCUUCGCCGCCGCUCCCGAUCGACGCCCCAGCUGCAGCAGCGCCUCCGCCGUCGCCUCUUAUGUUUUAUCCGCCUCCGCCGCCGCAGUCAGCAGAAGCGCCGUCGACAUCGGCCAAGUCCUCGUCAAGCAGCGGGACUGCGGUGGGCGUGGGCGUGGCCGUCGGGGCGGUGGUCUUGCUCGGCCUCGCGGCCGCGCUGAUCUUCUUCUUCGUCUCCAAGCGGCGCCGUCGCCGUAGGGUACCGCCGCCGGGGACCCCAGGACAAAAGCAGAUCUUGUGCAUUGACCUUGCACAACGCAGUCUUUUAGCUCUGCUUGGAUUCGAGGCCGUGGAAAAUUAUGUACUUUCAAGGGAUUGGUUUCCUGCCUCCAUCGAGAUGUUUCCCCCUCCCCUCCGUAGAACUACGCGUAACACCCCAUCGAGCACUCCUGUCAAGUAA